UGGCUUCCCUAGAAUUCUGGAACAGGGAGAUGAGGGAAAUAUUGAUCCCACCCCUGGCCUUAUCCUGCUGGCACAUCCGGUCUGGCCAACAAACAGAGGCAGAGGGGCCACACAACUCUCCAAAUAACAGGCGAGCCUUUCUACUCCACAUGUGCUACUCUAAGUACCAUCAUCAUGGUCUUCACUGGGUGGCUUCCAGAGCUAAAUGCCUUCACAGCUUGAGCUAAAGAAUCAAACUAUGAGCUUUUACAGACUCACUCUCUCUGUAGACCAAGCACAGAGAGAGACGCACAACUCAGACUGAACAAUGUGCACCUCUACUAUAACUAGGCGUAUUCGGAUGAGGUGACUGCUCAAUAUGAAAACAAAUAAUAAUCCAGAAGUGAACAAUGAAGCAAUGAAGAAGUUAAUUGAAGUGCAAAUGGGAGAAUGUCUAACCAAUUAACUAGAAACUUGAGGAAUUCUUCUACAGAAUGCUAGAUAUGGAGGAAAAAAUAAUUACUAUGGAA
Molecule: long non-coding RNA, 509 nt
Organism: Mauremys mutica (yellowpond turtle)
Lineage: Eukaryota; Metazoa; Chordata; Testudines; Geoemydidae
Exons: 3
Source: RefSeq, a predicted model, not a curated record